This is a non-coding RNA of Vicugna pacos (alpaca), 6121 nucleotides long. NCBI's taxonomy places the organism in Eukaryota, Metazoa, Chordata, Mammalia, Artiodactyla, Camelidae. The record is from RefSeq and is a predicted model, not a curated record.
CUCAUGUGUUCCCCAUGGGGAGGGGCUUAGCACCUGCCAUCCCUGCCCCAGGGCCUCCCCCCUUGGCCACCUGUUGGCUCCGCUUCCAGAGGCCGGGCUGUAAAUUGCCCACCGAGGUCACCUCAUGGCCUUGCACUCGAGGGAACAGCUCAGGAAAGGCUCUGGGAUCAGCCAGGCAUCACUCUUCCCAGAGGCAAAGCCUCUGAGGCAGAACGUGCCCUGGCCCGGCCCCCGGCCCGUGGCGGCCUGGGAAGGCAGCCCUGACGCUGGGCCCACAGCGCUGGGCGCCGGCAGGGUGGGGCCCUCUCCCACCUGGCACCAAGGGGGCUAGCAAGGAGCCUCCAGUCCCCUGGCUGAAGAGAGAGCCCUCCCGCGUACCGGACCACCCCCCUUUCGGAGCCCACCAGGAGGGGCUGUUGCUUGGUGCCAGGCACCCAAAGCUGUGGUCAUGGCCUUCACUCGGGGACCCCUACCCCCAACAAAUGCCAGCCUGACAGUCCUCCCUCCCUCCCCUCCCACCUGCCCUAGGGGCUAUAAUCAAAGCUGCACAGGAAGGGGGAGGGUUGGCCCCAGCAGAGGCUCUGCCCCAGGGGGUGGCAGUGGCAGUCGGGGGGGCCGGGGUCUGCCUGUUUCUCAGCAGGUGAGCUGCUCCCCUACCCCUGUGGCCUGGGAGGCGUCUGUCUCCCUGACGGCUUUUAUCUGUGGCUGCAGCUUGGGGAGGGCGGGCAGGGAGGAUGCAAAAUGGCCACUCCGGCCCACCAUCUGUUGCCAGAAGCCAAAAGUCCCAAACCAACUGGCUUAAAGAAAACCAGCUGCCCCUCUGGGAGGGGUCCAGGGGAGGCAGCUCAGGCCUGAGUCAGUGCUCAGGAAGGCGGGGGCGGGGGGGGUGGUGGCUGGCUCCUGGUGAAGGGCUAGGACUCCACGAUGCACCCCCAGUGCGGCCGGCAGCGCUGUGGCACCUUGAGCUCCUGUAAGAACACAGCCCGGGAGUCUGGGGAGGGUGACGUGGCCCCCACUGUGCACGGAUUCAGUUACAAGCCUCCUGGUCGCAGCCUGAGUGGCACUGGGAAUCUGGAGCACCGGUGUCGGGGGGGGGGGGUGCCAGAGAGGCAGCACCUCCCCCAACCUAUCAAUGGUCUCCAUUGUCAGGCAGGAGCUGGCUGCCUCUCCCACUUGGAGAAAAGGCUCUUUUUUCCUUCCCAGCUACUGACGAGCAGGCAGGCGGUGGGUACUGGACAGAGAACGCUUGGUCAUCAAAGCCGGGAGAUGCCCUGGGGAGAUGCAUCCUCUGGGCUCCAAUGAUGGACUGGUGAGAUGCAGUUUGAUCAAAGGAACUUCGAGAGCGCGAGAGGAGCCUCCGCUCUCCGCAGCACAGAUGGGUACUGCCUGCCUGGCCUCAGUUCCCUGUGGGGCCUGCGUCCGCCUGGCCCGCUCCCGACCCCGCACCUAGCACCUGCUCAGUAAAGCCGCUUCCCCUAGCUUUCCUGCAGCACCAGGCAGGUGGGGCACUGGCUCCGCAGCCCUGGGCGCUCCUGCCCCGGGCCGGCUUGGCUGGUGGAAGCUGAGGCCCAGGGACAGGACCUGAGGCUGCGAGCUGACGUGGGGCCCUGAGCAGGCUGGGAGCAGAAGACACCCAGGCCAUCCUAACUAAUACACCUGGGACAUACCAGGCCCCACUCAAGCACAGAGAUGAGCACCAGCUCUUCCAGGAAGCCUUCCAGUCAUCCACCACCCCCAACACCACCUCCUCUGGACUCCUGUCCAAGACCGAGACUGUGCAAGGGCCUGGAUGCUGGUGCCCACCGCCAGCCCAUCCCUGACAGUCUCAGGCAGGUCAAGUCCAGUGCCCAGAGGAGUGAAGCACUGACACACACGAGUGAAAGAAGGCCGGAUAAGAGCCGGAGGCCACACAUGUGAUCCUAUCGUGUGAAGUGUCCAGAACAGGUAAAUCUGCAGACACAGAGCAGAUCGGUGCUCCCCAGGGGCUGGGGGAGAGGGAAUGGGGGUGCCUGUCUAACUGGUGUGGGGGUUCUAUUUGGGGUGACAGUUCUACAACCUUGUGAAUGUACCAAAUGCCCCAUUUCACUUGAAAUGUCCAUUUAAGUGUACAUUUGAAUGUACGCUUUGAAUGGAUGAAAUCAUAAAACUUAUGCUAUAGGCAAUUUACUGCCAAAAUACAUGUACGUAUUACCCACCCCCUCCAGUGUAGCCGUCGACUCCCUCAUGUUCUCAGAGAGCAGGCUGAGGUGGGGCGAGGCCUCGAGAAAGGCCACCAGAGGCCACUCUGGAAAAGGGCUUUCCUCUGCCCACCUGCGCCUCCUCUGCGUGCCUGUCAAGCCCUACCCCAUCUCCAGCAGGUGUGUCCCCAGCCCGGUAACAAGAGCACCACAGCCCAGAGCUGGCCCCAGGUGGACGGAGUCUGCUCUGCUGCAUCACGGCCAGGCCUGACUCCUGGGUGCCUCUCCCCGCACCUUGCUGCUGCCCACCGCCACCACCCAGGCUCUUGCCGGCUAAUCCCGGGGUCCUGCCAGCAUGUAGCUGGAAGGAUAUAGCACCAAGGACCACUUAAUCCAACACCCUCAAGUACUGAGGGAAAACCGAGGCUCAGAGAGGAGACAUGUGUCUGGGGGGGCACAGCACACCAGAGCCAGGCUGGUUCUGUGUCUCCUGGAUUGUCCAUGGCGGGGCAUGGGGUGGGGCCCCCAGAGACAGCCAAGCCCCAGCCCCACCAGGAACUUCAGGACCAUCAAACACAUCCUGACCCACAGUCACGAUGCCCCGAAGCCAGCCGCUCAUUAAAGCCUCUGGAAAGUUCUGGAUAUGCCUGUACAUGAAGGCAAAAGCUGAUGCAAGCUGGCCUCAGAUCCCCACCCCCUUUCCCAGCCUCUUCAACUCUCAGCCUCAGUUUUUCCCACCUGUAAACUGGGGAUAAAAAAAAAGGCAGAGCUGGCCACCACCUGGAGCGGGUGUGAGCCAGUUGGAUAAAACGUCUGCCUGGGGCUUUAUGACGCCCAAUAAAAGCAGCUGUCUGUGCGUGGAGUUAUGAUCGUUACAUUAUUGAGGAAAGCAAUCUAGACGCUCAAUCAACUCUGCAAAACCACAUCCUUUCACUAUUUAUAGAUGAGACAUGAAACAGGAAAGGUGCCCUCCCCACCCCAGGAGAGCGCAACCCCUCUGCCCAGCAGACCCCAUGUGCCAGUGACGGCCACUGCCACCCAGCAAAGUCACAGUCAGCGAGGAACAGAGCCACUCCCAGCUCUUGUGGGAACUUCAGGUGCCACCCAGCACUUGGGAGUGGAACCCUCUGGACACCCCCCUGCCACCCUAGCUUCUGGGGGGGGUCCCAGCACCCAGCCCAGGCCCAGCUCAGCUGUCCUGUUGAGAGUUUCUCCACCAGCUGUUUGCCCUGCCCCACCCUCUUCCAGCUAAGGGCACAGUUUAUCUUCUUUCUCUUUUUAAAAAACAUUACUAUUAUUUUUUUCAAUGGAAAAAAUGUUGGCUGUCAUUCAGGGCCAGGGCCAAGCCCAAGGAGGCACCUUCCUUUAAAGAAUGUGUGUUCCUUGAUGCUGUUCCACAGUCAGAGUCAGUAGGUGAGACUUCCUAGCUGACGCUGUGCGUUUAAGGUGUGUUUUUCUAACCCUGCGUCCUUGAAGCCCAGGCGCUGCGUAAACAGAGGAAGUCCUGUACCAGACCUUUGUCGCUCACAGCCUAGGGGCGAGGGUGAGGAUUAACCCGUUCCUCCCCCGGCUUCGCCCAAGACUUGCAGGUGACUCAGUGGAAACAGACGGACCAGGUGACAGAGACGCAUAACGUUCCAUCCCUCUGCAGCCAGGGCGGGCAGCAGAGCCACUUCCCACCCGACCCUCUGAACCUCCUCUUUUAAAGGGAAGUUGUAGUCCCCGCCCUGCUUCCUGGCAGAGUGGCCAGGGAGGGCCUGGGGCAGUGCGGGCAGGAUGCAGCAGUGGUUAGGAAUACAACUUUGGAGAAAGACCCAGGGCUGGACUCUACUCUGUGCUGUGUGAUCCUGGGGCCAAGCGUCGACAUCUCUGUGCUCCCCCAUUUCUGCCCUGAUCCCUGUGGUGUUACGGGGCUGCUUCGAGCCACAUGGGGCCAGGCUGCCCCACCCACUGUGCUCACCUCCACCUGACACGUCACAUGUACAUCAUGUUGCCUCUCCUGCCCUCAUACUAGAAGGUCAACUCCAUGGGGGCAGGGGCAGAAAGAAGAUAAACUGUGUCUGACCUGAUCCCACUGCACCAAAGCCUAGAGCAGAACCCAGCACACACCAGGCACUCAGAAGUGCGGGAGGACGCCAAGAGGGCUGCUGACUGGAGCCAUCAUAGGCGAUCAGAUCCUCAAAAUCGGCCAGCCCCUCCUGGGCGGCACCCCGGCUCCGGCCCACCAGGUUGCACCUUUUGGGUUCUCUGAAUUAACCCAUCAGCUAACUAAACAUUCGAGAAUGAGGAUCCUGAAACCAGCACUGUCAGCUCAAAAGGAGAAGGCAGGGAGGAAACAGACACUCACCCGGUGCCUACGGCAGGCCACUCUUAUGCAAUCCUUACGCACCAUUCAGAGAUCAAUUGUGUAUCAGCCACGAAACACAGACUGGGGGAACCUGAGUUUAGGUGACCUGAUGACCUGCAGUCAUGGAGCCCGAGUGGCAGAGCCAGGCCUCAAAUACAGGGCUGUCCAGAGCUGAGGCCCACCAGCCACCAGCCAGCAGGAAUUUCCUGCUCGGUGCUCUGGGUGGAAGGGCUCACCCCACUUCUGUGAUCACCUGGAAGAGGCCCCCAGUGAAAUUCUGACUUUCUCACAGGCAAGAGGAGUAUCUUAGUCAUCCUGGGGCCUCAGUUCCCAGCCCAGAACCGAGCGGCUCCUGUUUAGCCUUUCAGACCGAAAACACACGCUCACCCAAACAGACAGCAGUCGCCACAGGCCUUCCCACCCAUCCCCUCAAUCGAAAGAAAAGAGGGGGAGUCCACCUCCGUAUUUCCUCGGCACCAGUGGGGCCUGCAAGGAGGCUGGAGUCGGGUAGAGGACCCCCUUAGCCUGCCCACAGGCCAGCAGCCCCCUGUGGCAGCCCCCGGGCCACCACACACAGCCACUGUCCAGAGAUGACACUCUGCCCAUGGGGACCUGCAACUGAGCCUUUCCUCCAAGGCCACUGGCCGGCCAGGCCCCUGCACCCCUCGACUUCCUGGGAAGGCAUUCGCACCAGCAGAAACCUCUUUUUCCGAUUCUGAGCCCUGUAGCCACCUGACUAGCGGCUUCUGGGGAAGGUUCCUUCUCUUCAGGGUGGAAACAGAUGAUUCACCAGGUAUUAACGUGCCUGGCACACUGACACCACCGUUUCCCACGCCCUGUCCACAGGGGAGCCAGCAAGUCAGCACGGAAAGUCAAAGCACUUUCUGAGGGGCCCAGCUGGAGGCCACAGAGCUGGAAUUCACACACCAGGUCGGCAGGGCUCCGGAGGCCUGCACCCUGACACCUCGGAGGAAAGAAGGCGGCUUCCCUCAGCUGGGAGAGCAAGCCCCGCAGCCCCGGGGGCCCGGACCUGUGCCUCUCCACGGCUGCGCCUGGCCGGGCCGUCCCCGCUCUGGGCCCUCGCCUGCCCCCCGCAGUGCUGCCCAGAGGUGGGGCCUCUGAGGACGGCGCUUCCGUUCAUCUGCCAAGUGGAUCUGUGGGGUGUGCACAAUGGGGUCUCUGUGGGCCGAGCUCGGCUGGGUGCCAGGCCAGAGAGGCAGGCUUCCCAACAAGGAGGAUGGGGCACCAGGCCCAAGGGAGAAGAAAGGCCGGCACCCCAGCCUUGGGCCAUGGCUCAGGGCUGACAGGACCGCCAAAGCACCCAGGUUUGAGGGGUGGGACAGCAGGGUGCUGUCCCCUUGAAGUGCCUUACCCUGAGGCCAGGGAGCGAGCUGCAGCAGCUGAUGGCCCAAGGCACCUCCUUCCCGGCCGGCCCUGGCAGCACGGGGCGCGAGCCUCGGUCCUGGAGACCCCAGGCUGUCCCUACUCCCCAAGAAGAGACCGCUCCCAUUUUCCCCAGCACAACACUCCCCCCACCCUCCCAAAGCCCUCUGCAGAAGAACAGAGAUUUUGAGUACCCCCCAACAUAUGUGCACAC